This 797-nucleotide ribosomal RNA is filed under the name Triticum aestivum (bread wheat). RNAcentral's name for it is "partial small subunit ribosomal RNA". The record is from RNAcentral. Lineage: Eukaryota; Viridiplantae; Streptophyta; Magnoliopsida; Poales; Poaceae.
CUGAUCGUCGUUUCUGUACGCAUUCUAUGCGAAAAGGUCCCUCCUCCAUUGUAAUUUGUUUCCGAUACCUUUCUCCUCAAACGAGAGUCACGCCUCUUUGUCCAUCUCCUAGCGCUUGCCAUCGACGGUGGCGGCGGUCCAGAUCUCGCGCAAACCUCCGGGACUACGUCCACUGCAGGGGCUACCUGCCUCCUCCAGGUCGACCGGCUCCACCACCCAGGCGUCCCCGGCGUCGUGCUCCACAUCGUCGAGUGGGAUUCGGCCGUCGCCACCGCCACGGUCUCCACCUCUCCAGGGGCAGCGGGCGCCCCUCCCCACUCCCCCGACGGGUCCGUGACCGGGCUGAACACCCACGGCACGCGCGUGAAGACGCAGCCCGACGGCCGCACGCCAAAGCUCUUCUUCGUCGUCUCGGUCGAUUGAACAGAUGAACCUUAUAUAGAGUCCAUGGAGGUCCUGGUCUCUCCCAACACAUGAAGCUAGAUGAGCAAGAAGGAUAACGACUGCCAAAGGCUAGAGCUUUUCUAUCAUGUACCAUCAAGAUGCUUGUUGGCUAUCAGUCCUUAAUACUAAGUCUUGCGGACAUGUACUGAAGAUGAUCCUCUCAUGUUAUAAGGAUGCAUCAUUUGAUACCUGUGUUCCUCAUGUGUUCUGUUCCGUCUGGGAUGGCUUAAUUUUCUCAUGUACUCAAGUACUUCCAGUUUGACAUGUGUGUAGUUCUGCUUGAAGAGAUGGCUUAAUUUCCUCAUGUGCUCAAAUGUUUGUGAUGUAUAAUGUCGUACUUUUUAGUGCUCAAC